AAGAGUGCUGCUCAAUAUAACCAAAUAUAACAGAAGGUAGGGAAUUUUUGUAAUCUAUAUUGCUACAGACCUAGUGAUGCUUUACCAGUAAUAGUUUCUUUCAAGCUUUUGAAAUGUUAUAAACUAAUUUUUUAGUAUUUUAUAAUUAAUGUAUAUUUUGAUGUCCAACUAGAAUUCUGAAAGAAUAAGGAAAAUAAGGUAAGUGGGAGCAUGUGUAUCUGUUAUGUAUGUGUGUGAAUGAGUUUUGCUUGUAUAACUGAGAUGGUUAAAAACAAAACAAAACAAAACAAAAAACAAAACAGCAGAGUCACAAGUACAGGAAAUCAUGCAGAGAUCUUAAGUAGCUUCAAUAAGUCCUGCUGCCAUGUUUCACCAGUUAUAGAUUAUGUUUCAAACCCAACAAUCAAUGGAGUACAAAUCUAAGAGGCACGAACACAUGUUAAGGUAAAAACAAAAUUGAAUUAAAUUUGUUGAUGAUCCAUGGUGUCAUCCUGGUUUAAGUCAUUAUGACCACAUAUGCUCAAGGCAAUGAAUCAGACAGAAAUAAACCAUCAAUUCUCAGCAUCUUUGUGAUGAUCUUGAUAUCAGGCUCAGUAUGAUAAUGAUUGGAUAAUUCCCUUGAAAUUGAUAUUUCGGUUGCAUAUGCAAGUGUAUUUUUUAAAUGCUGAUCUUUCCCAUGUCGCUCUGAAUUAUGCAGAAGAUUUUUUUAAUGAUGGCUACCGAUAAAAAAGGAAACAGAGUUACUGAAAUGAUUUGUGUUGGAUUCAGCCAUUUCCACUGGUACUGCCAAUCUCAUGAUGUUGCCAGUUUUCAUCGGCUCCUUUUUUUAAGAGUUAUUUUCUGAGAAGGGAGCUUGUUCAAAAAUCUGAGUUUCGGCAACCAUUUCCACUCGAUUUCUCCGAAUCUUGCCUUCAAUGGGAAGUCAUUGAAAGAACUGGAAAAAUGGCUUCAUUAAUAUUUGACUCAAGAAAUGGUAUCCUGUGCCUAUGCAACUGUCUAUGGUGGCUUAGCCUAUGUGGCAAUAGCCAUUCUAUAAUUAGUUGCCUCUUUGUGUAGUGUUUCCUUAUGUGGAGAAAAAGAGGUCCCUGGGACAGAGACAAAAAUAAGCUUACUUUCUGGUGGCCGCCAAUCAGGAUACUUCAAUUUGAAUUUCGUCAGAUGAUAAAAUUUCCACCUAGAACACUGUGGAAUUUUGAUAAAGUUCACCUUUUCUAGCAGUGCCAAAGGACAAACCAAAUCAUGGCAUGGUUAUCAGGUUGAAAGGGCUCAUACCUAUAAAAAAAAAUUAUCUUUUCACAGCAAAUUUUACAGAAACAGGAUUUUAUUGGCUAUCAGAAGAUGCUUUUCUAUGGGAAAACCUCCUUAGAGAGACAAAGUUCUUUAGAAUUGAUGGUGUAGGUUGCAGAUGCGGCUCGGAUCCCGCGUUGCUGUGGCUUUGGCAUAGGCUGGCAGCUACAGCUCCGAUUAGACCCCUAGCCUGGGAAACUCCAUAUGCCGUGGGAGUGGCCCAAGAAAUGGCAAAAACACACACAAAAAAAGAAUUGAUGGAAGGGAAAAAUCUAAUCCUGCAUUUCUGUCUGAUCGCAGAAGCCAGCACCUUCUACGGUAUAACAGCAGUUCUCUGCAUUAGCAUUGACAACCUUUCCUUGUGUUUAGGCUGGUGAAGCAAGUUUGGAGUGAAAAAUGAUUGAUUUGUGUAAAGGUUCAUGUCCACCUAUAAAAAAAGAGUGGUGAAAGUGAAGCAAAAUACUAAGAGGUUAAAAUCGGUCGUUUUAAAUAAUAUACACAUUCAAAUACAUGGUAAUUGUCCGGAUAUAACCAGAUACAACCUCACUUUUCAAAAUAAGGACUCUGAGACUUCGGAAAUCCCCAGGUUCCAAACAGUUUUCUUUGAAUGCUCCCGGAGAGUAGAAAAAGGUUUCUCUUACUGCGUUUUGGCUUAGGCCUCAUCCUUACUUACCAUGUGGUUUGAGUUUUAUGAGUGAGUUUGGUGAUCAAAUUGCUAAAACGAAACACCUCUUUUGUUUUAUUGUUUUCAUUAAAUAAGACAUCAGAACAGUGCACAUACAAGGCAAUUUCAACAUUACCUGGAGGUUAAGGUGAAUCCCUUGCCGGAAGUAAGAAAAAGCUUGUAAGCUAAAUAUGGCUACCCAAGAAAUGAAGAAAAAAAAAUUCCCAUGAUUUAUGUAGGAGAAGGUUAUCCAAGAUAAUUCACUCUAACAAAGGACAGAAUUCACAAUUCAUUAUGUUCCAAAUGUAAAUGAAAAUGAAAAAAAAAAAUGGCACCUGCAUAUUCAAGAUUAACUCAUUAAAUCUUCCUUGUGUGGGAAACUAGAGAGCUAACUCUAGAAUGUAAACAGUUAAUCCAUCACUCCUUUAACAGUUCAUUAUUGAGCAGCUUAUAUAUCAGUUAUUUAAAAGCAUUUCUGAAGCAACUGGCAUUAAGCCUUCAGAAAGAUGUGGCCCCUGCCUUCAAGGAACUUUAUUAUGCAAUCACUAAUAUUUUCAAAACAAAGCCAGUUGUUUUUAAGAAGGUAUACAAUACCACAUGUGUUUCACAUCUCUUUGUGUUUAUAUAUGGUAUUCUCUUUUUUUUUUUCAGAUCAAGUGUAUAGUCAAAAUAAGAUAUGAAAACAUAUUAAAGUGGAUGUCUAAGUAUAAAAUAUGUUUCUGUGUAAACCUCUAUAUGUACUCAUAGGAUAUGUACUGCUGUCUAUGUAAAUCAGUAAAAGGAUAACCCAUUUUGCCAUGUGGAACUUGAACAGUAUGGCUUGGGGUUUGGAUUCAUUGAAAACCCUUUGAUAUUUGGGUCAAUUACAUUGUCGCCAAAUGUGUGUCAUCUGGGAAAAACUAUAUGAUUAUAUUUCCCUUUAAAUAUUACAAAGUUUCAAGUUUAAGGGGAAAACCUCUACAGAAAUAUCGUUGGCUGUAUCUUGACCAGCCCUAUCUGAAAAUCUUUUUGAAGUUUUCCGUGGUUCCCAAAUAUGACUGGGUUUGCCCACCCUAAAAGCAUCCGCAUUUACACAUGUACACACUCACAUACAGUAUACAUACUGUAUAUAAUAUAUAUGAAAAUGUUUAGUAUGCACUUCCUUUGUUUGGAAUUCCUUCGGUUAACAUUUAUAGUGUAGCAAUUUGUGUAAAGUGCACUGUGAUUAUAACAAAAAAAGAAAGCACAGUAAAGUCACAGGUCUUGUUAUCUUGCACUAAAAAUGUGUUUACGUAUUUAGCAAUUGUAUGUUUACUUUCUUGCUCUUUUCAAGAAAUUGAAACAAAUAGCUAUUGAGAAACUGAUAUCAAAUAAUAUGUUUUUUAGUGGAUAAUGGCACUACGUUUUUAAAAGACAGGGUUUUUAAAAGAAACCAUUUAACAUCCAUUCCAGCGUAACAUGUUUACCGUAUCUAAAAAUCUGAAUGUCAUAUUGCAUUUUUUCAUAACUCAUUAAAAAUGUCAGGUAUGUGCCUGAAAAGUUGUGCAAAUAAGCAUUAGAUAACAGAUUUCUCUAUUCACGUGUUGUUAGCCAUUUCUAUAUACAUAAUAAUAUAAACACUGAUGUUUUAAUUUCUUUUAAUUUUUGUACUUGAUUUUUUUAGGUAAUAUGUAAUUAUAAAUGUACUUUGAUACUACUGAAAGUAACCAGAUGUUGUUUGAAAACAGAUUGUUUUCUUUAGUGCAUUGGCGAUAUUUUGCAAUACUUUUGUGCUUAUUUAUUUGUGCUCCCGUGUAAUUAUAAUAAAAGCAAUAGUUU
RNAcentral lists this long non-coding RNA (3748 nucleotides) under Sus scrofa (pig). Its description in RNAcentral is "lncRNA (ENSSSCG00065005781.1)". Lineage: Eukaryota; Metazoa; Chordata; Mammalia; Artiodactyla; Suidae. The record is from RNAcentral.